UCUUCGGUAGUAUAGUGGUUAGUAUUCCCGCCUGUCAUUGACAGAUACGCGGGCGACCGGGGUUCAAUUCCCCGCCGAAGAG
This 82-nucleotide transfer RNA is filed under the name Ascodesmis nigricans. It matches the Rfam family "tRNA". Rfam says of the family: Transfer RNA (tRNA) molecules are approximately 80 nucleotides in length. Their secondary structure includes four short double-helical elements and three loops (D, anti-codon, and T loops). Further hydrogen bonds mediate the characteristic L-shaped molecular structure. tRNAs have two regions of fundamental functional importance: the anti-codon, which is responsible for specific mRNA codon recognition, and the 3' end, to which the tRNAs corresponding amino acid is attached (by aminoacyl-tRNA synthetases). tRNAs cope with the degeneracy of the genetic code in two manners: having more than one tRNA (with a specific anti-codon) for a particular amino acid; and 'wobble' base-pairing, i.e. permitting non-standard base-pairing at the 3rd anti-codon position. Lineage: Eukaryota; Fungi; Ascomycota; Pezizomycetes; Pezizales; Ascodesmidaceae. The record is from Rfam by way of RNAcentral.